RNAcentral lists this small nuclear RNA (102 nucleotides) under Nannospalax galili (Upper Galilee mountains blind mole rat). Lineage: Eukaryota; Metazoa; Chordata; Mammalia; Rodentia; Spalacidae. The record is from RNAcentral.
GUGCUUACUUCAGCAGCACAUGCUAAAAUUGGAAUGAUGCAGAGAUUAGCAUGGGUCCUGCACAAGAGAGACAUGCAAAUUCAAGAAGUGUUCCAUAUUUUU